AGCUCCAAUAGCGUAUAUUAAAGUUGUUGCAGUUAAAAAGCUCGUAGUUGGAUUUCUGAUGGGAGUGGCUGGUCCGCCCUUAUGGGGUGUGAACUGUGCUUACUCUCGUCAUCCUUGGGGAAAGCCUUCCUGGCAUUAAGUUGUCGGGUUGGGGAUCCUCAUCGUUUACUGUGAAAAAAUUAGAGUGUUCAAAGCAGGCUUACGCCGUUGAAUACAUUAGCAUGGAAUAAUAAGAUAGGACUUUAGUACUAUUUUGUUGGUUUGCGUACCAAAGUAAUGAUUAAUAGGGACAGUUGGGGGUAUUCGUAUUCAGUUGUCAGAGGUGAAAUUCUUGGAUUUAUUGAAGACGAACUACUGCGAAAGCAUUUACCAAGGAUGUUUUCAUUA
Molecule: ribosomal RNA, 387 nt
Filed under: uncultured bolidophyte
Lineage: Eukaryota; Bolidophyceae
Description: SSU rRNA
Rfam family: Eukaryotic small subunit ribosomal RNA
Source: RNAcentral